AUACGGAGGAUCCGAGCGUUAUCCGGAUUUAUUGGGUUUAAAGGGUGCGCAGGCGGCCAUUUAAGUCAGCGGUUAAAUCGUGGGGCUCAACCCCAUUCUGCCGUUGAUACUGGGUGGCUUGAUUGCGGUCGAGGUUGGCGGAAUUCGUUGUGUAGCGGUGAAAUGCAUAGAUAUGACGAAGAACACCGAUUGCGUAGGCAGCUGACCAGACCGCAAAUGACGCUCAUGCACGAAAGUGCGGGGAACGAACAGGAUUAGAUACCCUGGUAGUCCACGCAGUAAACGAUGAAUACUUGUUUUCGGCGAUAUAAUGUCGGAGGCAAAGCGAAAGCGAUAAGUAUUCCACCUGGGGAGUACGCCGGCAACGGUGAAACUCAAAGGAAUCGGCGGGG
Molecule: ribosomal RNA, 392 nt
Filed under: uncultured bacterium
Lineage: Bacteria
Description: partial 16S ribosomal RNA
Rfam family: Bacterial small subunit ribosomal RNA
Source: RNAcentral